Molecule: ribosomal RNA, 308 nt
Filed under: Pseudomonas aeruginosa
Lineage: Bacteria; Pseudomonadati; Pseudomonadota; Gammaproteobacteria; Pseudomonadales; Pseudomonadaceae
Description: bacterial SSU rRNA
Rfam family: Bacterial small subunit ribosomal RNA
Source: RNAcentral
UNACACGUGCUACAAUGGUCCGGUACAAAGGGUUGCCAAGCCGCGAGGUGGAGCUAAUCCCAUAAAACCGAUCGUAGUCCGGAUCGCAGUCUGCAACUCGACUGCGUGAAGUCGGAAUCGCUAGUAAUCGUGAAUCAGAAUGUCACGGUGAAUACGUUCCCGGGCCUUGUACACACCGCCCGUCACACCAUGGGAGUGGGUUGCUCCAGAAGUAGCUAGUCUAACCGCAAGGGGGACGGUUACCACGGAGUGAUUCAUGACUGGGGUGAAGUCGUAACAAGGUAGCCGUAGGGGAACCUGCGGUUGUU